This 276-nucleotide long non-coding RNA is filed under the name Nicotiana benthamiana. RNAcentral describes it as "long non-coding RNA (NBEN_LNC038662)". Lineage: Eukaryota; Viridiplantae; Streptophyta; Magnoliopsida; Solanales; Solanaceae. The record is from RNAcentral.
CUAGAUCAGGCCGUCAUUCCUGGCCCAAGUAUUGAGGCCACAGACCCCAAAUCUGUGGUAAGCUAUCAUGGGGCUAGUCACUCCUCUUCAACUGAGCCCCUUACCCAAUUGGAGGAUGCCAACCCAUCUAAUUCCCCAAACCUUCUCACCUACGCUUCCCCUAUCAAUUCCUCUAAGAUAACCUCUAAUGGGGAAAUCUCAACAGUCACCACAAACAAUCAAGUGCCCUAUCUAGAACCUCUCCCAUUUUCAGGUGAAAAGACAACUACAAUCAAC